RNAcentral lists this long non-coding RNA (2256 nucleotides) under Homo sapiens (human). RNAcentral describes it as "long non-coding RNA NONHSAT168619.1". The stretch from base 1045 to 1192 matches the Rfam family "Metazoan signal recognition particle RNA". The record is from RNAcentral. Lineage: Eukaryota; Metazoa; Chordata; Mammalia; Primates; Hominidae.
CUCUGCAGCUAUGACACUAGAUCACUAAUAAGGGUAGGUGAGAAGGAAAGGGAAGAGGAAAAGAAAAUAACAGCCAUUUAUUCUGAUAAACCCUCAACAUGUGACACCUGGGUUCCUUCCAGGCAUUUGCUGUGAAAAUAGGUGGUCCUGGUUCUCAGUAGUCCCAAAGCCUCUAGUCCGGAUGGGGGUAGAAUUGCCGCAGAUGCGGAAUCCACUAACAGUCGAGGAAGCUUAUCUUCCUGGAAGCCUUCAGCCUCCCACUCCCACCUCUGCCCCAUUCUGUUUGCUUCCUCCCUGUCUCAGCUUCUGCUUCUCUCCUUUUUAUAACCUGCUGCUAAGAAAAGUCUGAAAACUUGAAUUAUAAAUACAUAAUAUAUCAAGUAUUGCCUGAAAUAGAGAUUUGAAACCUAAAAGGGAGGAAAGAAAAGAAGCAUCUUGAAUUCUAGGAGAAGCAGUCCUGGGUGCCGCGUCCCCAAGGACUGGCUGCAGCUUCUCUCGGCCGCGGUUGCCUCAUUUAUAACAUGGGGAUACCCAUCCAUACCAACCAUGGUGCAGGGGAUUGCACCAGAUCAUUCUCACAUCUCUUCCAGCUCUGAAGAAAUGGAGGUGAACAGAGGAACAGCCACUCCCAGCAAGCAAGGGAAGAAGAAUCUUGAAAGCCUGUGACUUCACAGAGACUUCUUGAUUGAUGCCCCUGAAAUCAGCCUGCCAAGUGUGGCCUCUGCAGCAUAAAUACAAGGAGUCUGAUGACACAAGACGGCGUCUGAUGAUAGUUCUGUCACCCUCAGCCAUAUUAUAAUUCCAUGUCCUCGUAGUCACCCUGCCAUAAUCCCACCAUUUCCUGCAAACACAGCUUCUCCUGCCUGAUGAAGUCUUACCUAUCCUUUAAGACCUAGCUCCGACCGGGUGCAGUGGCUCAUGCCUGUAAUCCCUGCACUUUGGGAGGCCGAGGCAAGUGAAUCACUUGAGCCCAAGGAGUUCUGAGACCAGCAUAGGCAAUAUGGCAAAACCCCAGCUCUACAAAAAAAAAAAAAAAAAAAAUUAGUUGGGCAUGGUGGUGCACGCCUGUAGUCCCAACUACUUGGGAGGCUGAGGUGGGAGGAUUGCUUGAGCCCAGGAGAUCAAGACUGCAGUGAGCUGAGAUCAUGCCACUGCACUCCAGCCUGGGUGACAUAGUGAGACACCAUCUCAAAAAAAAAAAAAAAAAAAAAAAAGGUCCACACUCUGGGGAGCCUUUCCUGACUAUCCUGAGGAUACAGGGGAUGCUUCCUCUGUGGGUUCCCACAGGAUCGACCCACACUUAGAUCCCUCACCACUUUACUCUGCCAUUUACUCCCCUCCCUUGACCAUCAGUCUUUGAGGAAAGGGACUUUGCCUUCUUCAUCGUUGCCUGGCACAAUUCUUGCUUUUCCUACCUUGAAUGAAAAGAGAUGAUAAUCCUAUGUAAUGACAAAUGACUUAGAUUUUCUCAUUUAACCCUCACACAACUCUGGGAGAAUGAACACAGCUGAAGUGGCUUGUCCAGGUCAUUUUGUAAGUGGUGGAGCUGUAUGAUCUUGCCCACUUCAGAGACCAUAAGCUCUAGCUUGCAGCUGUCCCUGACUGCCUUCUGCCAGGUGAUGGGAAGCUUCUCACAAAGGCAGUGUCUACCUCAGCUUCUUUCUCCUUUCUCUCCCAUCAAACUCAAAUGUGAGGCAGCUAAGAAAGUUGAGUCAGCUCCUGAGAAAAUUCAGGUUUUAAUAACCUGCCUUCCUUAGGUGCUUGUCCAACUCCUCUGGCAAGGACCCUUCUUGGAGGGCUGAGAUUGUUUUCCUGGAGGCCACCAGACUUCAGGCUUCUAACCUCAGAGCCUGGGUGCUUUGUCUUACAGCAUGGUCUUUCUGAGCUGCUGGAGACCUCUCAGGUGUGAACCUAGUCUAAGCCACCAUAUAACUGGGGUUCCAAAGGCUUAUCUCUGUUGUUAUGAAUCAUCCACUGGAUACAUAGAGGGAUGAUAACUGGUUGCGGAUCAUUAGGUUCCUGUCCCUAGAGUUGUGUGUCCCAAAGCAAGCCACUCAGCAUUCUGGACCUCAGGUUUUUUUCUGUCUUCCUCUUUCUUUCUUUCUUUCUUUCUCUUUCUUUCUUUCUUUCUUUCUUUCUUUCUUUCUUUCUUUCUUUCUUUUUUCUUUCUCUCUUUCUCUCUCUCUUUCUUUCUCUCUUUCUUUCUUUCUUUCUUUCUCUUUCUUCCUUCCUUCCUUUCUUUCUUUCUUUCUUUCU